RNAcentral lists this ribosomal RNA (292 nucleotides) under uncultured bacterium. RNAcentral's name for it is "partial 16S ribosomal RNA". It matches the Rfam family "Bacterial small subunit ribosomal RNA", at positions 505 to 796 of the family's 1533-position model. The record is from RNAcentral.
GUGCCAGCCGCCGCGGUAAUACGGAGGGGGUUAGCGUUGUUCGGAAUUACUGGGCGUAAAGCGCGCGUAGGCGGACAUUUAAGUCAGAGGUGAAAUCCCGGGGCUCAACCCCGGAACGGCCUUUGAUACUGGGUGUCUUGAGUUCGAGAGAGGUGAGUGGAAUUCCGAGUGUAGAGGUGAAAUUCGUAGAUAUUCGGAGGAACACCAGAGGCGAAAGCGGGCAACUGGACGGGUACUGACACUGAGGCACGAAAGCGUGGGGAGCAAACAGGAUUAGAAACCCGUGUAGUCC